UUUAGUAUCUGCAAUCAGUCAAAGUUUAACGUAAAAAUUUAUCCCUUUGAAAUAUUUAUAAUAAUCAAAUAUCCAUAACGAUGUAAUUUAUUUAUAACGUUCAAUGGACACCGAUGGUUCUCUUACCCGUUUGAUAAUCUUCUUCUUAUCACUAGGUCCGAAGGCUUGCGGAAAAAGUGACGUAACAAUAUUUACCACAGAAUUACGAGGAUACCGCUUUUUACAGUCAAGCCAGAAAAUAUUAACGGAUGUAAGAAUGGAGACUCACCAGCGUCAAGGAUACGUUGCUUAACGGAGUGCUGUCUACCGUGCCAGAAUUGCCAAGCCUUUAUCUCAUCCUCGGGACUCUUCUCCUCCCGGAACAUCAGCAUUACAACGCUCUGAACAAUAGAACACGAUACAUGGGAUAAAGUGCAAGAGGAAAGUCAUCAAGAACUGUAUAGCCGACACGAGGAUGACGGACCUUUUCGUCCCGAGUGUACCAAUGAUCUGGCGUAUCUGGCGUGCGAGAUAGAAUGCAAGUGAACUGCAGUAUAAGGAGACCGAGAAUGCAUUUACAUACACGCAUAUAUGUGUAUAUGCACUUGCACGAGAUAGAUUAAAUUUUUAGUGAUUCGGGUGAAUGGGCGAAGGUCUAUAUAUAGAGAUACAUAGGCAGACUGUACAGAGUGGGGAGUAUUUAUAUGUGUAUUAAUAGACCCUAGUGCUUUAUCUAAUCUGUAUAAAGACACGUAUAUAUACCGUUGAUUAGAGAUCGCAGUUGAUGCUGUUGAUACAGCCUGUAUUUGUAAUUAUCGAGGAAGUCAUAUACUCGUCACCGCAAAAAUUGCCUUUGCAUGAGAAUGAAUAUGGCUAACGGGGUGCGAUUAAGUCAAUUAAUAUCCCACCGAGCGAACAAGCGAGUCUUAUUCGUAUUUUAUUCGAUUUCAAUCUGUAUUUCAUUUUUGUACAGGAGGUGAGAGGCAUUUAACAAAAAUCAAUGAUAUCAAUCGCGGACCAGUACUCGUAAUCAAGAAAGAAUACGAAUAAGUUAUAUAUUUGAUAAUUUAA
Molecule: long non-coding RNA, 1050 nt
Organism: Cephus cinctus (wheat stem sawfly)
Lineage: Eukaryota; Metazoa; Arthropoda; Insecta; Hymenoptera; Cephidae
Exons: 3
Source: RefSeq, a predicted model, not a curated record